GACGAACGCUGGCGGCGUGCCUAAUACAUGCAAGUCGAGCGGACCAAAGGGAGCUUGCUCCUGGAGGUUAGCGGCGAACGGGUGAGUAACACGUGGGCAACCUGCCUGUAAGACUGGGAUAACAUCGAGAAAUCGGUGCUAAUACCGGAUAAUAAAAGAACUGCAUGGUUCUUUUUUGAAAGAUGGUUUCGGCUAUCACUUACAGAUGGGCCCGCGGCGCAUUAGCUAGUUGGUGAGGUAACGGCUCACCAAGGCGACGAUGCGUAGCCGACCUGAGAGGGUGAUCGGCCACACUGGGACUGAGACACGGCCCAGACUCCUACGGGAGGCAGCAGUAGGGAAUCUUCCGCAAUGGACGAAAGUCUGACGGAGCAACGCCGCGUGAGUGAUGAAGGUUUUCGGAUCGUAAAACUCUGUUGUUAGGGAAGAACAAGUGCCGUUCGAAAGGGCGGCGACCUUGACGGUACCUAACGAGAAAGCCACGGCUAACUACGUGCCAGCAGCCGCGGUAAAG
Molecule: ribosomal RNA, 514 nt
Filed under: uncultured bacterium
Lineage: Bacteria
Description: bacterial SSU rRNA
Rfam family: Bacterial small subunit ribosomal RNA
Source: RNAcentral